Molecule: non-coding RNA, 94 nt
Organism: Gossypium raimondii (Peruvian cotton)
Lineage: Eukaryota; Viridiplantae; Streptophyta; Magnoliopsida; Malvales; Malvaceae
Source: Rfam
CUGGGCAUAUGAUGAAUCUCAUGUUGUAAUGGGUAAUUUGCGUCUGAACUAGUAUUUCUUGAUGCUAAAACACCUUGGAGACCUGAUGCCACUU